This 36-nucleotide non-coding RNA is filed under the name Actinoplanes sp. SE50/110. Lineage: Bacteria; Bacillati; Actinomycetota; Actinomycetes; Micromonosporales; Micromonosporaceae. The record is from RNAcentral.
GUCAUCCGGAGCAACGAGGCAUGGUUCGAUGAAUGC